GGACUCUUUAUCCAUGAAAAUUGUGUGUUUAUGAAGGCACUCUUAGGAAAACUCUCCUAGAGAUAAAAGUUAAAUGUAUCUGCUGGAGAUAUUAUUAAUUUCAUUUUGAUGGUACAUAAAGGAGAGAAAAUACCGAAAACGCUAGAGAGGAGUCUAAAGGUAGUUCCCUCUAGCAAGAUAUGGCUUUUGUCACACUCCUAAGCAUCUUGAUCUUCAAGGUACAUUGAAUGAGAGGCAGCAAGAAGAGCAGCACCAAUGCCAGAACCAUCAUUGGAGUGCACAAAAACGAUGCUCGUUGCUAACUCCUCUCCCAGCAAGUCCUUCAAAGAGUUCUCUAAACACAUCCUGUAUUCUGUAUAGUGCUCAUACAACCCGCCAUCCAUGGCUAUAACCGUCCUUUCUGAACCACCCUGCUUAGGCGUAUCUCUUCCCAUCUUUUUCAAGAUGCCCAAUACACCUGCAGCUGCAAGUCUUGCCCCACGUGUGGCAACGAUAUUGCACAGCUCAACCACUAGUUUUCUCGUCUUCAAGGAGGUAUUAGAUAUCUCUAAAAUAUCCUUCAGCUUUUCACCAACCACUUUCAGAUCAGAGGAUGUGUCAUGAUGCAUAGCAGACAUAUCAGGUGUCCUUAACACAAAUGGUUCCUUGAGCUUUGGAGGGACCUCAUCACCAAAAACGCCAGCUUCUUCAGCCAC
RNAcentral lists this unclassified non-coding RNA (695 nucleotides) under Hevea brasiliensis (rubber tree). The record is from RNAcentral. Lineage: Eukaryota; Viridiplantae; Streptophyta; Magnoliopsida; Malpighiales; Euphorbiaceae.